UUUAUGGAGAGUUUGAUCCUGGCUCAGGAUGAACGCUGGCGGCCUGCCUAAUACAUGCAAGUCGAGCGAACGGACGAGAAGCUUGCUUCUCUGAUGUUAGCGGCGGACGGGUGAGUAACACGUGGAUAACCUACCUAUAAGACUGGGAUAACUUCGGGAAACCGGAGCUAAUACCGGAUAAUAUUUUGAACCGCAUGGUUCAAAAGUGAAAGACGGUCUUGCUGUCACUUAUAGAUGGAUCCGCGCUGCAUUAGCUAGUUGGUAAGGUAACGGCUUACCAAGGCAACGAUGCAUAGCCGACCUGAGAGGGUGAUCGGCCACACUGGAACUGAGACACGGUCCAGACUCCUACGGGAGGCAGCAGUAGGGAAUCUUCCGCAAUGGGCGAAAGCCUGACGGAGCAACGCCGCGUGAGUGAUGAAGGUCUUCGGAUCGUAAAACUCUGUUAUUAGGGAAGAACAUAUGUGUAAGUAACUGUGCACAUCUUGACGGUACCUAAUCAGAAAGCCACGGCUAACUACGUGCCAGCAGCCGCGGUAAUACGUAGGUGGCAAGCGUUAUCCGGAAUUAUUGGGCGUAAAGCGCGCGUAGGCGGUUUUUUAAGUCUGAUGUGAAAGCCCACGGCUCAACCGUGGAGGGUCAUUGGAAACUGGAAAACUUGAGUGCAGAAGAGGAAAGUGGAAUUCCAUGUGUAGCGGUGAAAUGCGCAGAGAUAUGGAGGAACACCAGUGGCGAAGGCGACUUUCUGGUCUGUAACUGACGCUGAUGUGCGAAAGCGUGGGGAUCAAACAGGAUUAGAUACCCUGGUAGUCCACGCCGUAAACGAUGAGUGCUAAGUGUUAGGGGGUUUCCGCCCCUUAGUGCUGCAGCUAACGCAUUAAGCACUCCGCCUGGGGAGUACGACCGCAAGGUUGAAACUCAAAGGAAUUGACGGGGACCCGCACAAGCGGUGGAGCAUGUGGUUUAAUUCGAAGCAACGCGAAGAACCUUACCAAAUCUUGACAUCCUU
This 1009-nucleotide ribosomal RNA is filed under the name Staphylococcus aureus. RNAcentral describes it as "bacterial SSU rRNA". It matches the Rfam family "Bacterial small subunit ribosomal RNA", at positions 1 to 991 of the family's 1533-position model. Lineage: Bacteria; Bacillati; Bacillota; Bacilli; Caryophanales; Staphylococcaceae. The record is from RNAcentral.